GGCCCUCAGCUUUACGCAUCCCGAGACACACCUGAGCGGUCACCCCGCCCACGUUGAUCGAGGCAGGGGUGACCAGGAAGUAUCAGAUGAUAAGGAUCACUAGCUAAAAUGUACUUUGGCUCACAUACAUUACCUUCACAAAUCUGGAUAAUAUAAUGCGCAAGUAAAAAAGCCAGCUGUAGAAGAAGCAAUUGCCCAAAGCAAAACAAAUAUCACUGGUAACCAAUAUAAGCAUAAGUGCUCAAACCAUCUUUGACUAUUAAGGACUGAAAAUUAAUUCCAUGUGUUUGAGUUGAAACAUCUGUUAUUGUGCUAAUAAACAUAAUAUGCUUUGUUCUUUUGUUUCAUCACGUAUGGAAGCUUCUGAUUUCUCUCAUCCUAUUUGAGCUUGCUUUCCUAUUUACAUGUUUAUUCUCUUUUAUGCAUACUCCUCAAAUAAUGACAUUUACAAUAUAAUCAAAACACACUCAAUUGCAUAGAAUCUCCAAACUUGAUUCCAGAGAAGACACUAGGUUUAGUGGACACCAAACUCCUUAGGAAUGAUGAGGAUUAAAUAAUCUGAUUCAAAUAGGUCCAAUUCUAACCCUACAUACUAUGAUCUACAUGUACCUGACAAAAUGAAAGCAAAUGAGAAACUUAAAAGGCUUCAGCGAAGAAAAGAAAAUUGAUUACUUUGGUAAAUCAAGAAGUUCGUUAGCAUCCAUGGGAACGGUCUUCGUCAUCAUAGCAACCGCCCAAUCGCCCAAGGGGGCCAAGAAGCCAAAUAAAACCCUUCUCUUCGCGGCCUAAGCAACAGGAAGAAGAAAGGUUGUCGAUAGCGAACGCGACAAUAUAUUUCCUUUUUUCGUUUUCAUCCCCCUCGAUCUCGAAUCGGACGGACGAGUUCUCACUUCGCGAUCCAGAUGUCUGCGGCGGCUAUCGCCUGCAGUAGAGGCGCCGCCACGUUCGGGUUUCGUUGCUGGUCGCUGAUGCGGCUGCCGGCGGCGCAAGUCGGGUACCCUCGGUCCAAUUUAUCGCUGCUGCAGCGCUUCACUUCGGACGAGAGCAACGGGAGUAGGGCUUGCCUUAUCGACACGCUCGCUCUGGUACUGCGCUACCUUAUCGGUGUUCGACUGAUGGGAGGGGGUCUUGGUUGCGCUACAGGUGUUUGUGUUUUUGCUUGUGUAGGUCAAGAAGUUGGAGAAGGAAGGGGUCCCGUCGAAGCAAGCGGAGGCCAUAACGAAGGUUUUGAACGAGAUCGCCCGCUCCCUUGGGUCCAAGCCCGAGAUACAGAGGGAUCAACACUAUCCAAUGCUGCAACGAGAGACUGAAGAAAAUCUUCGAGUUGAUAUCGAGAAAAUGCGUAGUGAACUUAGGUCUGGUUUGCAUUGAAGUAUAUAACAGAUUAGUAAGCCAAUUAUAUCCAGAUUAAUACUUCUUUCUUUAAUUUAAACUCACUGUCUUAAACAGAUAUGAAAUCGACAAGGUAAUUGCUGGGCAGCGCUUGGAUCUAAUCCUCGAGAGACGGUAAGGGAUGUUAAUGUCUAUUUGAUAAUGGAAUAUGUGGUGAUACCUCAGGCUGAAUUAUUGUCCAUAUUUGUUACAGAAAAUACACUUUUUUAAUUUAACAACUAGGUUAACCAUGCUAGUUCAGAUGAAGAGUUCAUGUUGUAGGUAACAAAAAACAAGAGUUCAUAUUGAUUUGAAUUCUGAUUUAUCAUCAAGACGUUCUGGUCUGAGUGUUGCUAGAUCACUGUGCUAAUGUUGAUCCAAUGUUUCAUUUGACUUUGUUCAUUUUUUAUCACCUUUGUUAUGCCUGGAGCAAACAAAUAGGACUACCAUCAGUAGCAUCGAUCAAUGAUUAUGUAUGUGCUUAUUGCAAGUAGCUUUUCAUUUUUAAUGUGCUGUACCGGAUGAAUGUAGUAGCUUUAAUUUUAACUUCUUUUUUCUAAUUGUUUAGGCGCAUACGUCACAAGUUACGUGACAAGUUAGCCAAACAAAAUGCAGAAACCACAAAACUUAUUACCAAAAUCGAGAAGGAAAUCCUUGCAUUAAGGGCACAGCUAGACGCAGCAAAAUAUGAUGCCACAAAGUUCUGCAUCGUUACUGUUGUUUCUAUAUGUGUUGUUGCUUGUCAGAUUGCGGCUCUCACGUUCAGUCCCUCGCGUGUAGAAGCGGCUGAGGAGAUCCCCAAGGACAAAUGAUUGAUUUACCAAUUCUAACCCUACAUACUAUGAUCUACAUGUACCUGACAAAAUGAAAGCAAAUGAGAAACUUAAAAGGCUUCAGCGAAGAAAAGA
This is an RNA transcript of Musa acuminata AAA Group (dessert banana), 2279 nucleotides long. RefSeq lists it as uncharacterized. The transcript is spliced from 3 exons. The record is from RefSeq and is a predicted model, not a curated record. NCBI's taxonomy places the organism in Eukaryota, Viridiplantae, Streptophyta, Magnoliopsida, Zingiberales, Musaceae.